Molecule: ribosomal RNA, 322 nt
Filed under: Salmonella enterica subsp. enterica serovar Agona
Lineage: Bacteria; Pseudomonadati; Pseudomonadota; Gammaproteobacteria; Enterobacterales; Enterobacteriaceae
Description: bacterial SSU rRNA
Rfam family: Bacterial small subunit ribosomal RNA
Source: RNAcentral
AAAUUGAAGAGUUUGAUCAUGGCUCAGAUUGAACGCUGGCGGCAGGCCUAACACAUGCAAGUCGAACGGUAGCACAGAGAGCUUGCUCUCGGGUGACGAGUGGCGGACGGGUGAGUAAUGUCUGGGAAACUGCCUGAUGGAGGGGGAUAACUACUGGAAACGGUGGCUAAUACCGCAUAACGUCGCAAGACCAAAGAGGGGGACCUUCGGGCCUCUUGCCAUCAGAUGUGCCCAGAUGGGAUUAGCUGGUUGGUGAGGUAACGGCUCACCAAGGCGACGAUCCCUAGCUGGUCUGAGAGGAUGACCAGCCACACUGGAACUG